This 182-nucleotide unclassified non-coding RNA is filed under the name Oceanobacillus oncorhynchi. Its description in RNAcentral is "T-box". Lineage: Bacteria; Bacillati; Bacillota; Bacilli; Caryophanales; Bacillaceae. The record is from RNAcentral.
ACAGUAAAAGUCCGCAGUAGAUUAUUAUAUGACAGUUAUUUAGAGACAAGGUGGCUGGUGCAAACCUUGGUAUAUAAUAGUUGAAUUACAGGCUUUAUUUUAAAACCUGUCACUGAAAUCAAGCGGAUGUACUUAUGUGCAUCAACUAGGGUGGUAACGCGGAGAUUUACUUCGUCCCUUUC